UACAGAGGGUGCGAGCGUUAAUCGGAAUUACUGGGCGUAAAGGGUGCGUAGGUGGUUUUGUAAGUUAAGUGUGAAAGUCCCGGGCUUAACCUGGGGAUUGCGCCUAAUACUGCAAAGCUAGAGUACUGUAGAGGAAAGUGGAAUUUCCAGUGUAGCGGUGAAAUGCGUAGAUAUUGGAAGGAACAUCAGUGGCGAAGGCGACUUUCUGGACAGAUACUGACACUGAGGCACGAAAGCGUGGGGAGCAAACAGG
This 253-nucleotide ribosomal RNA is filed under the name uncultured bacterium. Its description in RNAcentral is "partial 16S ribosomal RNA". It matches the Rfam family "Bacterial small subunit ribosomal RNA", at positions 524 to 776 of the family's 1533-position model. The record is from RNAcentral.